RNAcentral lists this transfer RNA (72 nucleotides) under Mustela putorius furo (domestic ferret). It matches the Rfam family "tRNA". Rfam says of the family: Transfer RNA (tRNA) molecules are approximately 80 nucleotides in length. Their secondary structure includes four short double-helical elements and three loops (D, anti-codon, and T loops). Further hydrogen bonds mediate the characteristic L-shaped molecular structure. tRNAs have two regions of fundamental functional importance: the anti-codon, which is responsible for specific mRNA codon recognition, and the 3' end, to which the tRNAs corresponding amino acid is attached (by aminoacyl-tRNA synthetases). tRNAs cope with the degeneracy of the genetic code in two manners: having more than one tRNA (with a specific anti-codon) for a particular amino acid; and 'wobble' base-pairing, i.e. permitting non-standard base-pairing at the 3rd anti-codon position. Lineage: Eukaryota; Metazoa; Chordata; Mammalia; Carnivora; Mustelidae. The record is from Rfam by way of RNAcentral.
GCCUAGCUGGCUCAAUCAGAAGACCACAUGACUUUCGAUCUUGUGUCAUGGGUUCCAGCCCCGUGAUGGGUG